This is a long non-coding RNA of Poecile atricapillus (Black-capped chickadee), 3337 nucleotides long. RefSeq lists it as uncharacterized. NCBI's taxonomy places the organism in Eukaryota, Metazoa, Chordata, Aves, Passeriformes, Paridae. The record is from RefSeq and is a predicted model, not a curated record. The transcript is spliced from 3 exons.
GGGGAUGGGGAUGGGGAUCGGGAUCGGGAUCGGGAUGGGGAUCGGGCCACUCCGGACGCCCGGGGUCUGUUCCUGGCCGAUAACGGGCCCUGCCUCUCCUCUCGCCCCGUCUGGCCUCAGGGGCCGCUUCCGCCGCACCCCUGGAGGAGGCGGCUGAAAGAUGAUACUUGAAUUACUUGAAUUUAAGCUUGCCGCUUUUACUUAUCAGUGCAUUUUCAUGUACGCUUGUAAAAGAAAUGUUUUCAGCCCAUUUCUUGUUUCCUGGUUACCUUGUUGGCCGGUUUUUUUCGUGUGUCAGUGUUACAGUCACAAUUGUCCAAUGUGCUGAGGAAAGGAAGGUUCAGAUUAGUUAUUAGAAAACAUAUUUUCAUUAUUCGAGUGUUCAGGCAUUGCAAUGGGUUGCCCAGCGAGGUGGCUGAGUCACCAUCCCUUUAGCUGAGGCAUCCGGACCUGGCACUGUGUGACGCAAUUUAACCUGCAGCCCCUGGUAUAUGCGUUUAGAAAGAGGUUAUGACUACAGUUGCUUUUGCAGUCUCUUUUAAGACAGUCUAAUUUAAAAAUAUUUUUGGCAUACAUUUAAUACAAGAAGUCUCAGCAAGUUUCCUAGUAUCUUUUAAAUAAUGUAGGUAACACAUGUUUCUUAGUUCCAGAUGCAGUUCCUAAACUUCAGGCAAUGCUUAAGUUGCUGAAGAAAUACUGAAAUGUGAGACAAAUGGAAAGGAGAUGUAUAUGAUAUUGUGGGAACAAAAAAUUUACAAGGCUGCAGGAGGAGGCUGGACAAGUACAUGAAAGUACAAGUCACAAAAUUCAAGGAAGGUUCUUGUUGCCCAGAAUGUGCGUGCUCUCUGGGAUACUGGGGACUGUGAAGUGAAACACUUUAUUUGUGUAGUUUUUUCCUCAAAAACUGUUCGAUCUAUGUAUGCUGAUAAUGAAUCUGAAUUUAUGAAGUACCUGAAAUCCAAGUGACAGCUGGAUUAAAAAAAGUAAAAAUAUAAGGAAAAAUUCUUAUGCCUAGGAGCAGCACUAGUAAUCAUAAUCAAGUCCACUCUGUUUUGGAGCAGCAGAGAAAUGGUGCCAACAUUGCUGAGGUUUUAUGCUUCAUCAAUAACAGCAUAUGUGGCUUCAGCUAAGCUGCAGCAUGAAAAGCUACAGUUGCAAGACUGAAAUAUAGCCAAGGCACAGACUGUACCUUCAGCUGUGAUGUGACUGGAGCGAUGUCCAUAUCCUUACAUGGAAAUAGUUGUGGUAGAUAAAAUGUUACUGGAAUGCCAUGACUGGAGGAUAUGUGGAGGAUAUAUGGAGGAUUCUGUCAUCCUUUUUUUUGGUAUGUAAAUAAGAACAUUUGUAGUGCAUGCUUGAAGUGCUCUUUCUGGCUUUGUAACCAUGUUUCCUUCCAGGUGUUGGUCAUGUUUUUAUUUGUUUGAACAUGUAUUUAUAUUUUCUGUUUGGCUGGCAAAUAGACUCUGUGUAAAAUGUGAAGCUUGGUGACUUAAGUGAAUUAUCUGUGGAACAGCGAAUGUAUUUUGCUUCAGUGGGAGGCUGCCUGUCCUAAGUGUUUUCCACAGGCAAGCCUUUGGCAGUUACAGAAAUGAAAAUGGUGACUAGACAACAUGUUUUAAAGUGAUGAAAGGAAAGCGUUUAUUUGUAGUAGGCUGUCAUGACCUUGCACUGACAUCUCUAAAGCUUUUUGGACACUUCUAAAGAGAUUCCUUGAUCAAAACUAAAACUACCAUGAGACCCUGGUUCUUCCACUGGAACUGAGCAGAAUAAUUGUUGCCAGUGAUGGUUAAGUUUGGUAGAGACGGACAUUUGGUGGCUUCUCAAAUUGGCCAGUUAAAUAGAUAGAAUGAAGUGCUUUGUAAAAAUACUAAAGUUUUCAUGUUCAGUAGCUAAUAUAACUGGUUUUAUUUGCUGGGAAGAUUGUCUGAUUUAAAGUUUGAGAAAAGGUUGUGAAGUCUUCUAAGUCACAUUUCAUCAAACUGUAUUUUUUAAUACUUUUUUGUUGAUAUACAGAGACAUUAACUCAUUUUAUUUUAUGUAGCUUAACAUGGCAGAAGCACUUAAAGUUACAGAUCUGAGUAUAACUUUAUCUGAAAUGUUAGAAUUAUAUUUUCUAAUUUCAGAACUUCAGUGUGACACCAGACUUGCAUAUAAUGCUUUUUAAAGUACAUUAUUUUGAAGGUAUAACCAUGCAUCUUCUCCCUAAUUUUUUGUUUUAUGUCUUUGUCAAGGCCAAGAAAUUAAGUUUCUGGAUGCCCAAGUUCUGUGAGAUGAGUAGAGCCUGUUUAAAGGGUGACUUUUGAGAGGAAAAAAAGAUUGCAUGUUACAACUUUAAUACACAGUGUUACUCGAUUUGUUGGGUUUUUCUUUGUUGUAACCAAGAAAGGAAUCUUCAAGGGGAGGUGGAGCCUUGACCUGCCUGUGAGAGGAAAGCCCAUCUAUGUGGCCAUGGCUGUGCCUGGUGAUGCAAUGUUUGUGCUGUUCCCUUUCAUGGCAAUGAGAGAAGGGCCAGGCACACUACAGCUUUCUUACCUCUUCACAAGCAAAUAAUGACUAAUGGAUGUAAUGUUAUUGGCAUCUAGGCAGCUGGACAUCUAAUUUCUGCUAAUGUGAUUGAUGAUCUCAGCAUAUCUUUUUUUUUUUUUUUUUUUUUUUCCUUUUUCUUUUUUGAAAUGUAGGUUCCUGCAUGCUGGAGAAAUACCACUUUAUUUCUCCAUUCUGAUGAAAAAUGCUAGAAUGAGUUACUGUGCUCCCUUUAUUUAAUAGAGUUUUUACUUUGGUGUUUGUUUUUGACUGGAAAAUACAUGUUUUUGCAAUUUGUGUACAGAGAGACAGAGAAAAACUUAAUGGAAGCUUGUUCUCCAGAAAGAGCACAAGAGAUUAUACACUCUGUCUACACUCUUUCACUUUUGCCCAAAUGUAAUUUUAAUGUUAAGGUAAAAUGGUACAGCUUAAACAUGAAAGCAGAGUGAGUGGAUACACAAAAGCAUGGCACCUUUUAUAUCAGCAUUCUUUGCUGACUACAGCAAGGUGAAAUCAAGGUGGAGGCAUUGCUUAAAUGGAAUGCAUGAAGCUUAAAGUAGAGCUGAUGGACUGAAUUUUGCUUUAAUUUAUACCUAGUGCAGUUCCAUUGAAGUCAGCAGGGAGAUGGAUCAAAGCAGGACUUUGCUACUAAAUAAUAGGGUGCUCAAAAUUGCUCAUGCCAUCAUUUCUGCAACCUUGGUUGUAAUCCUCAAAUAAAAAUGAGGGUUAUUGUAUCUAGUGCAAAAAUAGUAUUUUCUGUGGAAAAUUUUUAAAGUGUUAUUUAGGAAAAUAACAAAAAAAAUUAAAACAAUAA